GAUUGGGACUAUAGCUCAGUUGGUAGAGUGCUUGCCUUGCAUGCACAAAGCCCUGGAUUUGAUCCCCAGCAAAACA
RNAcentral lists this transfer RNA (76 nucleotides) under Marmota monax (woodchuck). RNAcentral describes it as "tRNA.Ala". Lineage: Eukaryota; Metazoa; Chordata; Mammalia; Rodentia; Sciuridae. The record is from RNAcentral.